This is a long non-coding RNA of Cyprinus carpio carpio, 1895 nucleotides long. The record is from Ensembl. NCBI's taxonomy places the organism in Eukaryota, Metazoa, Chordata, Actinopteri, Cypriniformes, Cyprinidae.
UGUGCCACAUCAUCACUUAGUACAUUCUCUGACUCUCUAGCAUCAUAUCAACAUCAUCAUGAUUCAAACAUUAUUCAUAUUGAAAGUGACGCCAAUAAACAACCAAAAAUAAGACAUGACUGUACCACUUGAACAUGCCAGGUUUCCUAGCAACAGCAAUUUAACUAGUAUGUCCAUGCCUAAUUUGCUUUUAAAAUCUGUGCCAAGACUCCCACCUCGGAUAUGAGCCACCGAAAUAUCAGCUUCACCACCACUGAUGGCGAUAUCACUCCCGAAGGAGAAAAGCAGCAUUCAGAAGAUGGUGGUCUUUAAAGCAAUGCCCUGCUCAUGUUGUUGUCAUUCUUGGCUUUGCUCCUGUCACAGAAAGCUUAGCUGCUCAAACUAGAAAAUCCCUUCUUUCUACGGUUACCAAGGAAACUAUUUACUGAGACUCUUUCCCCCCACAGCAUUCAUUCUCGGUUGCCGAAUCAAGAAAAGUACUUACAUUUCGACUUCCACUCUGUGCAUAAUAAGACUAUUACAAGCACAAUGUGUUAUCUGCCUGAAAUGCCAAAGGAUCGCAGGCCUGAGAGGACUUACGAAAAAACUGAUGUGUUUUUAUUGUAUUCCCCUUCUGACGCUGAAUUGAUUGUAAUUGCUGAUGUCUCGGACGUGUAUUUGCUUCUGAAGUCUGUCAUGGUUUGAAAAGGUUUAAGGAUUAUUGUGGAAAAGGAGCAUGAGCUCAAAAUGACUGCUUUUAUUAUUUCACCAACAAUGAAGCCGUAUAAUAGUGCAUCAAAAUUUAUGAAUACGAGCGACUUGUGGAUCUAUCUGGGUCAGUGCUCAAAUCGAAGAAAAUGGGUCAAGAGACAUCAGAGAGACAGACAGAGAUCCUCUAGUCUAAGCUGUUUGGACUCUCAUUCUGACGGCACCCAUUCACUGCAGAGGAUCCAUUGAUGAGCAAGUGAUGUAAUGCUAAAUUUCUCCAAAUCCGUUAAAUCUUGGAUGGCCUGAUGGUCAUCGCAGAUGUAUUUUUCAGUCAGAACAUUCACACAGCAGGAUUCUGAAUCGCUGACAGGUCCAGAUACAGCGGGUAAAAAUAAGUAUUGAUUUCCAAUUUCCACCACAGGAAUAAAAAGCAUUUUAACAUAUUUUACAAUAGAAAACGGUUGCUUUUAAUUGUAAUAUUUCACAAUAAUUUUUUCUGCAUGUCUUUUUACACAUUUUGCUUAAUUUGUCACUUUGUGUAGUAUUGGUCUGCUCACUACCUCAUUCAACUACCUCUUCUGACAGUUUAAAUAAAGAUGUCAGUCUGUGUAUUUGUAUAGUUGUAUUUUAUAUAUUUUUAAUCUGUAUUUAUCUGUAUUUUUAUGUUCUACUGUUAGUGUUAGUGUUAUCUGUAUGCACCAAGGGACUGAGUACAUGUGGAAGAAUUGACGAUAAAGCAGGCUUUGACUUUUGACUUGACUUAAAUUAUACAUUUAAAAAUGUUAAUUAUUCCAGGCUUUUGACUCUUAGUGGAGCACCAGUAGAGAAAAUCAUUUUCAUUUCUAAAAUCUAAAAAGUUAAUAUUGCCUUAUCUAUUUAUCACACUCGCAAUCAUGCAUCUGAAUAUCAGUAUGGCUCGUGUGAUAGAGUUCAGUUUUCUAAAGUUGCUUUAAGCACAAAGGCACAAACACGGCUUUCACUGGCUGUGUCAAUGCUUCCUUGAAAAGCCUUCACCACUGCUUUACCUCCACAACAACGGCAAGCAGAUGAGUUCUAUAAUGUUACCCCUCAUCAGCCAAUGCUCAUUUCUGACCGUCUGACCUCUGGACACCUCAUCCGACUCCUCUCUGAUGGAACCUGUUAUGAUGUCCAGAGAGAUUACAGCUCUGCACCAUUCACAUAAACUCCAGUCAAUAAAUGAAUCCCUG